GUCAAGCUACUAAGAGCACUAGAUGGAUGCCUUGGCAUUGACAGGCGAUGAAGGACGUGAUAAGCUGCGAUAAGCCGCGGGUAGCUGCAAACAAGCAUUGAUCCGCGGAUUUCCGAAUGGAGCAAUCCGGCAGGGGUAAUGCCCUGUCACCUGGAACUGAAUCCAUAGGUUUCAGGGGCGAUACUCAGGGAAGUGAAACAUCUCAGUACCUGAAGGAGAAGAAAUCAAUUGAGAUUCCGUAAGUAGUGGCGAACGAAAGCGGAAGAGGCUAAACCAGCCGGUUUACCGACUGGGGUUGCGGGACCCUGACAUGACGAGCGGGAGUUAGCCGAACGGUCUGGAAAGUCCGAUCAAAGAAGGUGAAAAUCCUGUAAGCGAAAACCGAAGCGAGUCUAGGGGAAUCCCAAGUAGGACGUCACACGUGAAACGACGCCUGAAUCCGGGGAGACCACUCUCCAAGCCUAAAUACUAGUCAAUGACCGAUAGUGAACAAGUACCGCGAGGGAAAGGUGAAAAAGGACCCUUAUGAAGGGAGUCAAAAGUACCUGAAAUCCAGUGCUUACAAAGUGUGGGAGCGCCGCAAGGUGUGACCGCAUGCCUUUUGCAUAAUGAGCUUGCGACUUACGUUCAGCAGCGAGGUUAAGCCAGUAGGCGAAGCCGAAGCGAAAGCGAGUGUGAACAGCGCGCUAAGUUGCUGGAAGUAGACCCGAAGCUGAGUGAUCUAUCCAUGUCCAGGUUGAAUCUUCGGUAACACGAAGUGGAGGACCGAACCGGUUCAUGUUGAAAAAUGUUCGGAUGAGGUGUGGAUAGGAGCGAAAGACCAAUCAAACUCAGUGAUAGCUGGUUCUCUUCGAAAUAUCUUGAGGGAUAGCCUUGUGCAUAACUACGUGCCGGGGGUAGAGCUCUGAUUGUUCGAGGGUCCUUUACCUGGAUACCAACAACUGUCAAACUCCAAAUACCGGACACGCCUAUCACAGGAGUCAGACUGCGGGGGAUAAGCUUCGUAGUCGAGAGGGCAACAGCCCAGAUCGCCGGCUAAGGUCCCUAAUUCAAGCUAAGUGGAUCGAAGGAUGUGGAGUUGCGUAAACAGUCAGGAUGUUGGCUCAGAGGCAGCCAUCAUUUAAAGAUCGCGUAAUAGCGCACUGAUCGAGUGAUUCCGCGCCGAAGAUAAUCGGGACUAAGCUUGAAACCGAAGCCGCGAAUAAUAUCUUUUGAUAUUAUGGUAGAAGAGCGUUGUAUGAGGGUCGAAGCCGAAUCGUAAGAUGAGGUGGACUUCAUACAAGUGACCAUGCAAGCAUGAGUAGCGAAAAACCGGAUGAGAAUUCCGGUCACCGAUAGACUAAGGUUUCCUGGGCCAGGUUCGUCCGCUCAGGGUUAGUCGGGCCUAAGGCGAGGCCGAAAGGCGUAGUCGAUGGACAACUGGUUAAUAUUCCAGUACCGCCUUGUUAUGUGAUGGAAUGACGCAGUAUGCUAUGUGCAGUUGGCUAUAUGCCAAUCCAAAGCCGUAGGGCGAGCAGGGUUAAAUGACUGCUCACACGCCUGAAAGCCGAUGCGCGGUGGAGUCUUCGGAUGAAGCCGUUGCGCAAAUGCUUUGCUGACGAGAAAAGUUCCUAAACUUAGUAACAGGGUGUCCGUACCGCAAACCGACACAGGUAGUCAAGGCGAGAAGCCUGAGGUGCGCGAGUGAAACCACUUUAAGGAACUCGGCAAAUUGACCCCGUAACUUCGGAAGAAGGGGUGCCUCGUAAGAGGUUGCAACAAAGAGGCCGCGGCGACUGUUUAACAAAAACACAGCACUCUGCCAACUCGCAAGAGGAUGUAUAGGGUGUGACACGUGACCAAUGCCCAAAGCUCAAAUGGAUCUGUUAGCGCAAGCGAAGCAGUGAUAUGAAGGCCGGGUGAAUGUCGGCCGUAACUAUAACGGUCCUAAGGUAGCGAAAUUCCUUGUCGGGCAAGUUCCGACCUGCACGAAUCGUGUAACGAUCGCGGCACUGUCUCGAAGUGGAGCUCGGCGAAUUUGUAAUUCCGGUGAAAAUGCCGGAUACCUGCAGUAGGACGGAAAGACCCUGUGAACCUUUACUGUAAUCUGAUAUUGGUAUUCGGGCAAUCAUGUGUAGCAUAGGUGGGAGACUUCGAAGCCGCGGCGCCAGCCCCGGUGGAGUCUUCAGUGAAAUACCACCCUUGGUUGUUUGAAUCUCUAACCUUCUCCCGUCUAUCCGGGUAAGGGACCGUGUCAGAGGGUCAGUUUGACUGGGGCGGUUUCCUCCAAAAUUGUAACGGAGGAGCACGAAGGUACAUUCAGCACGGUUGGCAAUCGUGCUUAGAGCGUAAGGGCAUAAAUGUGCUUGACUGCGAGACUUACAAGUCGAGCAGAUGCGAAAGCAGGUCCUAGUGAUCCAGCGAUGGAACGUGGAAUCGUCGUUGCUCAACGGACAAAAGGUACUCCGGGGAUAACAGGCUGAUAGCGCCCAAGCGUCCAUAGCGACGGCGCUGUUUGGCACCUCGAUGUCGGCUCAUCUCAUCCUGGGGCUGUAGAAGGUCCCAAGGGUCCGGCUGUUCGCCGGUUAAAGAGGUACGCGAGCUGGGUUCAAAACGUCGCAAGACAGUUUGGUCCUUAUCCACUGCGGGCGCAGGACAUUUGACAAGAUCAUUCCUUAGUACGAGAGGACCGGGAAUGACUGACCUCUGGUAUUCCAGUUGUCUCUAAAGAGGCAGCGCUGGGUAGCUACGUCGGGAAAGGAUAAGCGCUGAAAGCAUCUAAGCGCCAAGCCCCCUUGAAGAUAAGAUGUCCCUGGAUCUUUGAUCCCUGAAGACCACUUGAAGACCACAAGUUUGAUAGGAUGCGCGUGUAAGGGCAGCAAUGCCUUCAGCUUAGCAUUACUAACCGGUCGUGAGGCUUGACC
Molecule: ribosomal RNA, 2903 nt
Filed under: bovine gut metagenome
Description: Bacterial large subunit ribosomal RNA
Rfam family: Bacterial large subunit ribosomal RNA
Source: RNAcentral